RNAcentral lists this ribosomal RNA (585 nucleotides) under Pseudomonas sp. StFLB056. Its description in RNAcentral is "bacterial SSU rRNA". It matches the Rfam family "Bacterial small subunit ribosomal RNA", at positions 102 to 683 of the family's 1533-position model. The record is from RNAcentral. Lineage: Bacteria; Pseudomonadati; Pseudomonadota; Gammaproteobacteria; Pseudomonadales; Pseudomonadaceae. RNAcentral also lists the same sequence under 4 other names.
ACGGGUGAGUAAUGCCUAGGAAUCUGCCUGGUAGUGGGGGACAACGUUUCGAAAGGAACGCUAAUACCGCAUACGUCCUACGGGAGAAAGCAGGGGACCUUCGGGCCUUGCGCUAUCAGAUGAGCCUAGGUCGGAUUAGCUUGUUGGUGAGGUAAUGGCUCACCAAGGCGACGAUCCGUAACUGGUCUGAGAGGAUGAUCAGUCACACUGGAACUGAGACACGGUCCAGACUCCUACGGGAGGCAGCAGUGGGGAAUAUUGGACAAUGGGCGAAAGCCUGAUCCAGCCAUGCCGCGUGUGUGAAGAAGGUCUUCGGAUUGUAAAGCACUUUAAGUUGGGAGGAAGGGUUGUAGAUUAAUACUCUGCAAUUUUGACGUUACCGACAGAAUAAGCACCGGCUAACUCUGUGCCAGCAGCCGCGGUAAUACAGAGGGUGCAAGCGUUAAUCGGAAUUACUGGGCGUAAAGCGCGCGUAGGUGGUUUGUUAAGUUGGAUGUGAAAGCCCCGGGCUCAACCUGGGAACUGCAUCCAAAACUGGCAAGCUAGAGUACGGUAGAGGGUGGUGGAAUUUCCUGUGUAGCGGUG